CGCGUGGGAAUAUGCCCUUCUCUGCGGAAUAGCCUCGGGAAACUGAGAGUAAUACCGCAUACGCCCUUUGGGGGAAAGAUUUAUCGGGGAAGGAUUAGCCCGCGUUGGAUUAGGUAGUUGGUGGGGUAAUGGCCUACCAAGCCGACGAUCCAUAGCUGGUUUGAGAGGAUGAUCAGCCACACUGGGACUGAGACACGGCCCAGA
RNAcentral lists this ribosomal RNA (204 nucleotides) under uncultured bacterium. Its description in RNAcentral is "partial 16S ribosomal RNA". It matches the Rfam family "Bacterial small subunit ribosomal RNA", at positions 114 to 335 of the family's 1533-position model. The record is from RNAcentral.